GAUGAACGCUGGCGGCGUGCCUAAUACAUGCAAGUCGAGCGAACAGACGAGGAGCUUGCUCCUCUGACGUUAGCGUCGUACGGGUGAGUAACACGUGGGUAACCUACCUAUAAGACUGGGAUAACUUCGGGAAACCGGAGCUAAUACCGGAUAAUAUAUUGAACCGCAUGGUUCAAUAGUGAAAGACGGUUUUGCUGUCACUUAUAGAUGGAUCCGCGCCGCAUUAGAUAGUUGGUAAGGUAACGGCUUACCAAGGCGACGAUGCGUAGCCGACCUGAGCGGGUGAUCGCCCACACUGGAACUGAGACAGGGUCCAGACUCCUACGGGAGGCAGCAGUAGGGAAUCUUCCGCAAUGGGCGAAAGCCUGACGGAGCAACGCCGCGUGAGUGAUGAAGGUCUUCGGAUCGUAAAACUCUGUUAUUAGGGAAGAACAAAUGUGUAAGUAACUAUGCACGUCUUGACGGUACCUAAUCAGAAAGCCCCGGCUAACUACGUG
Molecule: ribosomal RNA, 497 nt
Filed under: uncultured bacterium
Lineage: Bacteria
Description: partial 16S ribosomal RNA
Rfam family: Bacterial small subunit ribosomal RNA
Source: RNAcentral